UUUUCCAUUACUAACUUUCAUUGCCUAAUCCUACUAAAGAUGUCUACAUUUCUAUGUGAGAUAGUAAUUUCAAGAAAAAUUAUCUCAAACCAGAAAAUUUCUCAAACUCAAUAAGCGUUAUAUAAUGGUCAAGUGCAGUAAACGAAUUCAAAAACAUUGCUUUCCAAAACUUCAAGAAAUAGAAACGUUUUCGUUUCAAAUUCUCAAAGAACAAAAAAAAACAUUUUCCUCUCAAAAUUUCAAACCAAAAACGUUUUCUUCAUUCCAAAACCAGAAACAAUUUUCGUCCAUGAAUUUCUAAGGAGCAGGGGCAAAUUUCGUUCAAUCAACGAAGGUUUUCCAACGAAAUAUUAUAUGGAGUUUUUCCCACUCCAGGUAUGUUAAGGCCCUCCCUUUUUUCUUUUGGCAUGGUCCAAGUUAUACUGAAGAAACGAGCAAACACAUAGUUUCCAUAAAUUACUCUAUUCAUAGAAAUAAUAGGGGUGUCUAUAUUCUUGAUUCCCCAUGAUAAUUAUUAUUAUCUCCUAUUCAAGGGUCUCAGAAUAAUACACAGUUGAAAAAGUUUAUCCGGAAGGAAUAUUGAGAUUAUUACGUAAUUUUCAUGCAUUUCACUCAUUUAUACAUGUGCAUCGACCCAUGACCCAAUGACGUUAUAUACGUGUAUAUAUGCAAAUAUAUCUAUAUGGGAUAUGAUAAAAAGUUACGGCGUUAUAUACGCACCACCACCUGAUCAGCCGGUAUAUGUUGAUGAUAUUGCUCAUAGUGGACGAGAUGAUAUGAUGGGAUGCCCUUAGUGGCUUGAUGAUAUUAUGUACACCCAUACCUAUACAUGGCACGACAUUUAUAUGCACGUGCAUGAAAUUAUAAACGUUUCAGAUUUUACAAAGUUAUUCAGAUUUAAAGAUGUGUUUCCUUAUUCCAUGUUUUAUCUAUGUCUUUUACGUACUAAUUUUCAUGCCUUACAUAUUCAGUACAUUUUUCGUACUGAUGCCCUAUUUUACGGGGCCUGCAUUUCAUGCCUACAGGUGCAGGUAG
RNAcentral lists this long non-coding RNA (1035 nucleotides) under Nicotiana tabacum (common tobacco). Its description in RNAcentral is "long non-coding RNA (NTAB_LNC008347)". Lineage: Eukaryota; Viridiplantae; Streptophyta; Magnoliopsida; Solanales; Solanaceae. The record is from RNAcentral.